AUUGAACACUGGCGGCAGGCCUAACACAUGCAAGUCGAGCGGAUGAAGGGAGCUUGCUCCUGGAUUCAGCGGCGGACGGGUGAGUAAUGCCUAGGAAUCUGCCUGGUAGUGGGGGAUAACGUCCGGAAACGGGCGCUAAUACCGCAUACGUCCUGAGGGAGAAAGUGGGGGAUCUUCGGACCUCACGCUAUCAGAUGAGCCUAGGUCGGAUUAGCUAGUUGGUGGGGUAAAGGCCUACCAAGGCGACGAUCCGUAACUGGUCUGAGAGGAUGAUCAGUCACACUGGAACUGAGACACGGUCCAGACUCCUACGGGAGGCAGCAGUGGGGAAUAUUGGACAAUGGGCGAAAGCCUGAUCCAGCCAUGCCGCGUGUGUGAAGAAGGUCUUCGGAUUGUAAAGCACUUAAAGUUGGGAGGAAGGGCAGUAAGUUAAUACCUUGCUGUUUUGACGUUACCAACAGAAUAAGCACCGGCUAACUUCGUG
Molecule: ribosomal RNA, 484 nt
Filed under: uncultured bacterium
Lineage: Bacteria
Description: partial 16S ribosomal RNA
Rfam family: Bacterial small subunit ribosomal RNA
Source: RNAcentral